UCCUUAUAUAAGUUUAUUGAAAGGGAGAAAUCCCCUUUGAAAUCAGGAGUAUAAAAUCCAUCUGAUGCAGCCACUCCACCAAAAGUUUGAGCAGACUUUGCUCCAUAACCCUACCCCAAAUAUCAUACAAAAUAUACUCAUAUCAAAUUUCCAAACCCAUGAAUCAAAAACGAUAAAAAGAGUAGAAAAAAAAAUUCAAACAAAGCAAAGUAAAAAUGUAAUCUUUAAUCAAAAAAAUCGAAACAGUACCGUAAAGCUACAAAAUUUAACAAAGAAACAAAUCAAUAAUUAUUUGGUAAGAGUAGUAUGCAGCUAAUUAGUGAUAGCUAUGGUUCUAAUUACAUAGAAACAAAUCCUUACCUCUGUGUCAGAAGCUGCCGCCGAACUACCUCAUAUUUAGCAAGUUUUUGAGUACAAUUGACAUGAGGAACCUGUUGUAACAACAAACAAACACAUCUUAGUUAAUCAAUUAAUUAAAAAUAUAAUCCAAACCCAAAAGAUAACCUCAUAUUAAAAUAAAAACCAUGCAUGACAGUUAUGAGAAGAAGGAACAAUAUCUUCAUGUUUUUGGCCAGUGAAGAUGUGAAUACCAACAAAGCAACACUCAACAUAUCCAUGUUUUCCAGAUUUUAAGUUGAAACUUCAACCACCUGUGUCCAACACAAACAAACAAAACCCACAAAACAUACAUCAUUAAAAAUCAAAGCUUUAACUUUGUUUUGCACAAAAUAACACAAAAUUCAUAUGGGGUUUGAUUAAUCCGAACCAAUUGAUAAAAAUUCAAUUUUAUCACUGGAAUUUUUUCUA
This 807-nucleotide long non-coding RNA is filed under the name Trifolium pratense (red clover). RNAcentral describes it as "long non-coding RNA (TPRA_LNC011117)". The record is from RNAcentral. Lineage: Eukaryota; Viridiplantae; Streptophyta; Magnoliopsida; Fabales; Fabaceae.